Non-coding RNA from Lactuca sativa (garden lettuce), 1988 nucleotides. NCBI's taxonomy places the organism in Eukaryota, Viridiplantae, Streptophyta, Magnoliopsida, Asterales, Asteraceae. The record is from RefSeq and is a predicted model, not a curated record.
GUGGUUUUGGUUGUGAAGUUGUCAUGUAAUCCUAGAAUAUGCAUUGUCUGUAAUCUCUCUGGCCACACCCAAAUCUGCAUAAGCUGCAUGCACUCCUUUUGAUCCUUAUCCUAAAAGUAUUGUAAUACAGUCUGCCUGCAAAUCCCAAAAGCCGGCCCCACACACAUCACACUGAGUUUUAGGUUGAGACCAAAACAUAUUCCAUUGAGCCGAAGUUUCCAAGUAUGACAGCUGUCGAACCUGCCCUGAGACUAUUAGAGACCGACUCUAAGUCUCACAGUUAGAUAUAGAUUGUAUUGAAUAUUUAUUGUUAUCUAUUCCUAAAAUGGUGGCUGUAUUUCCUUGUAAUUCUUCCCUAUAUAAAGGGUUUUAAUAAUCGAUACAGGGGCAUUGAUUCCUUCGAUCCUAAUCUACUUUCAUGGUAUCAUCAGAGCUAAGGUCCUGAAACUCUAACAACAUCCCUUGAUUUAAUUUAUUUUUUAUUUUUUUUUAUCUCUGCUGCUUUUGAUUUUUUUUACUCUGUCACCUCCAUCGGAGAUAAACCAGGAUCUUCUGACUCCAAGACUCAUGCUGCCUUGCACCCAGCUUACACAGUCACAAAUAUCCAAACCAAGGUCCGCACUCUUGACAGAUCUAAAGUUACAUACUCGGCUUGGACAAAAUUGUUCACACUUCACGUCGUUGCAUAUAAAGUUGUUGAUCACAUCUAUGACACGAAGCAACCGGAGGGGAGGAGACAGACGAAGGCUACACCCCAUGGAAAGAAAUCGAUGCACUAGUUCUACAGUGGAUCUAUGCUACUGUUCAGAAUUGGCAGAAUCCUAGACAUCAAAACGACCGCCCGUGCAGCUUGGCUCCGGAUUCAAAAGAUUUACCACAGUAACAAAGGAUCAAGAGCGGUGGCACUUGAAAGAGAGUUCUGCAAUUUUUCCCUCAGUACUUGUUCAUCAAUGGACGAUUAUUCUCAACAACUUUCUGAUCUUGCUGACCAACUCAGAGACAUUGAUAAUCCUGUAUCUGAAUCUCGGUUUAUCCUUCACUUGUUCGAGGCCUACCCCCCGAGUUCGACAUCGUCGCAUCCUUUAUCAACCAAAGCCCGAAUAUUAGUUGGGAUACCGCAUGCAACAUGAUUCAAUUAGAGCAACACCGUGUGGCAGCCCGGAAAAACCCGACUCAAUCGGUUCUUGUCGCCCCUCAAGAUAAUCGUUCUGCUGCUCCACCACACAACACCGGUCCUCGUCAACAACCCUAUUAUCACAAUUCUUCUUGAGGAUGGGGUGGCAGUUUUCGUGGUUGAGGCCGCUCCGGCAGAGGUUGUGGUCGCGGCUACUCGCAGCAACAGUGGAAUGCUCCUCAUCAACAAUGGCAAUCGCAUCGGUGGGGACAACAAUCAUGGACACCACCUCCUGGACCCUGCCCGACUCAGCCCACUUAUUCAGCCCCAUAUCACUACCCCACUUACUCGCCUCAAUAGGGCUGCCUAACGAUCCUCCUCAUCAGCCCAAUUUCCUCACCGGUCUACUCCUACUCAUGAAGCUGUUCCAACAACUGAUUUUGGAGGUUAUAAUGUUUUUAAACCUAAUGAUUUAUCUCAGGCUCUCCAACAAAUUCAUUUGAAUAAUCAUGACCCCUAAUGGUAUAUAGACUCUAGAGCAUCUUCUUAUCUUACUACAGAUCAAGGAUCUCAAGAGUGGAGCCCUCCUGUCCCGCCACAAUAGCUCUGGAGAACUCUACCACUUCACAUCACCACCCAUCGCUUCAGCUUGUCACUCUACUACUACCGAUCAGUGGCACAACUGGCUAAGCCACCCUAGCGAGUCAAUUUUGGAUUUACUUCAUACUUGUUUUUCAAUCCAUUGUAAUAAGGCUAUGGCCAAGUAAUUUUGUCACUCGUGUCAACUUUCUAAACACACACGUUUACCAUUUUAUGACUCUCACUCGGUUACCCUUGUACCUUUUGAUUUAAUACAUUGUGAUUUGUGGACUUC